Molecule: ribosomal RNA, 560 nt
Filed under: Tepidimonas taiwanensis
Lineage: Bacteria; Pseudomonadati; Pseudomonadota; Betaproteobacteria; Burkholderiales
Description: bacterial SSU rRNA
Rfam family: Bacterial small subunit ribosomal RNA
Source: RNAcentral
GGCUGGCGCAUGCUUUAACAUGCAAGUCGAACGGUAACAGGCCUUCGGGUGCUGACGAGUGGCGAACGGGUGAGUAAUGCAUCGGAACGUACCCAGAGGUGGGGGAUAACGCAGCGAAAGCUGUGCUAAUACCGCAUGUGAUCUGAGGAUGAAAGCGGGGGACCGAGCAGCAAUGUUUGGCCUCGCGCCUUUGGAGCGGCCGAUGUCGGAUUAGCUAGUUGGUGGGGUAAAGGCCUACCAAGGCGACGAUCCGUAGCUGGUCUGAGAGGACGACCAGCCACACUGGGACUGAGACACGGCCCAGACUCCUACGGGAGGCAGCAGUGGGGAAUUUUGGACAAUGGGCGCAAGCCUGAUCCAGCAAUGCCGCGUGCGGGAAGAAGGCCUUCGGGUUGUAAACCGCUUUUGGCAGGAACGAAACGGUGUCCGCUAAUACCGGGCGCUAAUGACGGUACCUGCAGAAUAAGCACCGGCUAACUACGUGCCAGCAGCCGCGGUAAUACGUAGGGUGCGAGCGUUAAUCGGAAUUACUGGGCGUAAAGCGUGCGCAGGCGGUUGUG